Molecule: ribosomal RNA, 530 nt
Filed under: uncultured bacterium
Lineage: Bacteria
Description: partial 16S ribosomal RNA
Rfam family: Bacterial small subunit ribosomal RNA
Source: RNAcentral
UGGGGAAUCUUCCGCAAUGGACGAAAGUCUGACGGAGCAACGCCGCGUGUAUGAUGAAGGUCUUCGGAUUGUAAAGUACUGUCAUUGGGGAAGAACGGUUUUCUUGAAAAGAUUGAGAAGACAUGACGGUACCCAAGGAGGAAGCCCCGGCUAACUACGUGCCAGCAGCCGCGGUAAUACGUAGGGGGCAAGCGUUGUCCGGAAUUAUUGGGCGUAAAGGGCGCGUAGGCGGGCCUUUAAGUCCGGUGUGAAAGAUCAGGGCUCAACCCUGAGAGUGCAUCGGAAACUGGAGGCCUUGAGGACAGGAGAGGAAAGUGGAAUUCCACGUGUAGCGGUGAAAUGCGUAGAUAUGUGGAGGAACACCAGUGGCGAAGGCGACUUUCUGGACUGUAACUGACGCUGAGGCGCGAAAAGCGUGGGGGAGCAAACAGGAUUAGAUACCCUGGUAGUCCACGCCGUAAACGAUGAGUACUAGGUGUAGGAGGUAUCGACCCCUUCUGUGCGCAGUUAACACAAUAAGUACUCCGCCU